GGAUGUGAGGGCGAUCUGGCUGCGACAUCUUUCACCCUAUUGAUCGCCAGUGUUGAUUCGGCUGAUCUGGCUGGCUAGGCGGGUGUCCCCUUCCUCCCUCACCGCUUCAUGUGCGUCCCUCCCGAAGCUGCGCGCUCGGUCGAAGAGGACGACCUUCCCCGAAUAGAGGGGGACCGGUCUUCGGUCAAGGGUAUACGAGUAGCUGCGCUCCCCUGCUAGAACCUCCAAAUAACUGAAGACCCAGUAAAGAACCCACACAGCUAUGGCUACUUGAUAAUUGACAAAGGAUCAAAAACCAUCCAGUGGAUAAAAAGAUGGUAUAU
RNAcentral lists this small nuclear RNA (323 nucleotides) under Rattus norvegicus (Norway rat). Its description in RNAcentral is "7SK RNA". It matches the Rfam family "7SK RNA". From Rfam's summary of the family: 7SK was discovered as an abundant small nuclear RNA in the mid-70s but a possible function has only recently been suggested. Two independent studies have found that 7SK RNA binds the CDK9/cyclin T complex (known as elongation factor P-TEFb). Lineage: Eukaryota; Metazoa; Chordata; Mammalia; Rodentia; Muridae. The record is from Rfam by way of RNAcentral.